AUGCCUGAUAUUGCAGCUCUGUCCAGGAGUACGUUCUUCCUCUGGGCCACCGGGCCAGAGUGGCCAUCCUCACUGUCAGGAAGUUCAUCCUCGUUUCCCAGCUUUGUUUCUCAAGUGUGCCCACUCGUUCCUCUUCUGGGGAGCAGCGGGCAGGAUGCAUUCUGCCCCCGUGAAAAACAGUUCCCUUCUUGUCUUUUCCAAAGCUUACAGCCUUGGAGCACGAGAAAGAACAUCUUCCUCCAGCAAGUGACAAAGGAGGACACACCCAGGCCCCAGGAUGCAAUCAGCUACUUCAGAGAGGCUCUUUGGGGGCCCCCCAGCUCUGCACAGACCCCUGGACAUCUCUGUCUCUUCCCAAUGGAUCCAGAUCCCUUCAUCCAGGAAAACCACACCCUGGAUGUUUGUGGCUGCCCUGAAAUUGGAUGUUGUGAGGGUCUGACGCUUCGAAGCAGCACAGGUGAGCUUCCUUUUUGUUCUUCAUCCACAACCCAUGAGACACGUAGAUCACGAAAAUCAAAGAUCUCUCCCACCUCAGAUCGUAUCUGUCGUUUGAUGCACGUUCCUGCAAAGGCCCUUUCCAGACACUCCUCAAUAGUUUCUGCAAAUGCUGCCCGAAGCCCGCUGGUGAGCAGACACCACAUAUCCACCUUCCUCUCAGCCUCACACCCAGUGCCACGCCGCUUCCACCCUCUCCACGUCCCCGCGGCGAGGACCUGCAGAGGACCUGUUUGCCUCGUACACAGCAAGGCCGAUGCUUGUGUGUGGGCGUGCACACACGUCCCCAAGAGGACAGGCGCAGCGUCAUGUGGAGACGGGAACAAGGAUCCCGUCCAGCUGGAGGGCUGAGCUCAUUUGACCUUGGAGUGCCCAGUGUGGAGAGAGAGGUGGGGGAGGAGAAACAGUCGAGAAGUGCUGUCAGAUUGCAGCCUCUUCUGUGCAGCUUUUAGAACAAAGCGUGCGAGAGAAGAAGGAGCUUUUGAUUUGGAAUUUUCUAUGAGGUCAGGGGCCUGUGAGGAAGACACACCCGGGAGAAGCUGGUCUCAGUAGGGGAAGGAAGAAAGCCUCAGGUCCUUGGAUUUGACCUUCCCAGGGCAACUAAGGGUCAGAACAAUUUGCUGAUGCAAAGGAAGUUAUGUGUGCGUGGGUCUGUGUGUGUAAAAAAAAAAGGUGGGGGGAGGGACAGGCAGGGAGGAGAAAGGACAGAGGAAGAGGCGGGAGGCCUCCGUUUGAAAGGGGUCUGCCCGGAAGCCCAGAGCAAGGGACAUGCCUGAGGAAUGGAUAACUUAAGAGAGGGGAACAGGAGUCCGGUCUGAGGAGUGAGCAGGGAGAAGAAGGAAUCCAGCAGACACGUGAGGGAGAGGCAGGAGCAGCCCUGAGCCAGGCCUGCUGUGGGGCUGGGCUGGCCUGGCUGUGAGCACAGCCGGGCUUGGGGGAGGCCGCCCAGCUCAUCUGUUACUUACGAACACAAGCUCAGCCUCAAACCUGAUUAGCAGGAAUUAGGUGGCAUAUGGCUAAUCCUCCCUGCCACAGUUAUUAAUACUUUUCAGACUCUGCAGAGGGAGUCCGGAGGCUUCUCCCUGGCUGGCAUCUGGGUGCAGGCAGGACAAGGCUCGGCACCUGCUGUGGGAGGGGCUCUAGCCCCGAGGAGAACAAGGGGGUGGUGGAGAGGCAGAAGUGGCUGGAAAGCUUUCUUUGAGGCCUUGAAGAGACUCCUAAUCCUUCACAAGUGUCUGCCACAGGCUUUUCUUUCUUCCAAAAUACCCCUGGAUCUCUCAUUCCAUUUAGAAAACUGGUGAGAGAGGGGAAUAUACGAUAUCCGAAAGAAGUGAAAGGGUUUAACCAAGGA
Molecule: long non-coding RNA, 1846 nt
Filed under: Oryctolagus cuniculus (rabbit)
Lineage: Eukaryota; Metazoa; Chordata; Mammalia; Lagomorpha; Leporidae
Description: lncRNA (ENSOCUG00000029921.1)
Source: RNAcentral